GACGAACGCUGGCGGCGUGCUUAACACAUGCAAGUCGAACGAAGAGCGCUGGAUGCUUGCUUCUAUCACUCUUAGUGGCGAACGGGUGAGUAACGUGUAAUCAACCUGCCCUUCAGCGGGGGACGACAGUUGGAAACGACUGCUAAUACCGCAUACGAUCUAAUCUCGGCAUCGAGGAUAGAUGAAAGGUGGCCUCUACAUGUAAGCUAUCACUGAAGGAGGGGAUUGCGCCUGAUUAGCUAGCUGGGGGGGUAACGGCCCACCAAGGCGAUGAUCAGUAGCCGGUCGGAGAGGAGGGACGGCCACAUUGGGACUGAGACACGGCCCAGACUCCAACGGGAGGCAGCAGUGGGGAGUCGUCCGCAAUGGACGAUAGUCGGACGGAGCAACGCCGCGUGAGUGAUGACGGCUGUCGGGUUGUGAAGCUCUGUUAAUCGGGGCGAAAGGCCUUGUUGCGAAUAGUGAGAAGGAUUGACGGUACCGGAAUAGAAAGCCACGGCUAACUACGUG
RNAcentral lists this ribosomal RNA (510 nucleotides) under uncultured bacterium. Its description in RNAcentral is "partial 16S ribosomal RNA". It matches the Rfam family "Bacterial small subunit ribosomal RNA", at positions 28 to 507 of the family's 1533-position model. The record is from RNAcentral.